UACGAAGGGGGCUAGCGUUGCUCGGAAUCACUGGGCGUAAAGGGUGCGUAGGCGGGUCUUUAAGUCAGGGGUGAAAUCCUGGAGCUCAACUCCAGAACUGCCUUUGAUACUGAAGAUCUUGAGUUCGGGAGAGGUGAGUGGAACUGCGAGUGUAGAGGUGAAAUUCGUAGAUAUUCGCAAGAACACCGGUGGCGAAGGCGGCCCACUGGAUCGGUACUGACGCUGAGGUGCGAAAGCGUGGGGAGCAAACAGG
This 253-nucleotide ribosomal RNA is filed under the name uncultured bacterium. RNAcentral describes it as "partial 16S ribosomal RNA". It matches the Rfam family "Bacterial small subunit ribosomal RNA", at positions 524 to 776 of the family's 1533-position model. The record is from RNAcentral.